AUGGAACCCUCCUUUGGUGUAACCAUCACCCUGAGCAACUCGAGUCGAAGGUCAGGGCACAUGGAACCCUCCUUUGGUGUAACCAUCACCCUGAGCAACUCGAGUCCCCCUGGGCAGAGAGGACCCCCCCAGGAGGAAAAACUCCAGAGCAGCCCCCCCUCCACCUUCCUCCUCCUCUUCUUCCUCGCAGCCCUUCCAGGGCUGCGGGCGGCCGUGCAACUGGUGGGGUCCGGAGGUGGUCUCCAGACACCCGGGGGGUCCCUGCGCCUCCUCUGCAAGGGCUCCGGCUUCACCUUCAGCAGCUUCAGCAUGGGAUGGAUUCGACAGGCGCCCGGGAAGGGGCUCGAAUAUGUCGCGAGUAUUGACAACGAUGGUAGCACCUACUACGCGCCGUCGGUCAAAGGACGCUUCACCAUCUCGAGGGACAACUCCCAGAGCACGGUCACGCUGCAGAUGAACAACCUCAGGGCCGACGACACGGCCACCUACUACUGCGGGAAAGAUGCUGGUGGUGCUAGAAAUGCUGGCAUCAUGACCCAACAUCCCUGA
Haliaeetus leucocephalus (bald eagle) is the source of this 549-nucleotide non-coding RNA. Lineage: Eukaryota; Metazoa; Chordata; Aves; Accipitriformes; Accipitridae. The record is from the annotation of a RefSeq genome assembly.